AACGAACGCUGGCGGCAGGCUUAACACAUGCAAGUCGAACGCACCUUUCGGGGUGAGUGGCAGACGGGUGAGUAACGCGUGGGAAUCUACCCUUCUCUACGGGAUAGCUCCGGGAAACUGGAAUUAAUACCGUAUACGUCCUGAGGGAGAAAGAUUUAUCGGGGAAGGAUGAGCCCGCGUUGGAUUAGCUAGUUGGUGGGGUAAAGGCCUACCAAGGCGACGAUCCAUAGCUGGUCUAAGAGGAUGAUCAGCCACAUUGGGACUGAGACACGGCCCAAACUCCUACGGGAGGCAGCAGUGGGGAAUAUUGGACAAUGGGCGCAAGCCUGAUCCAGCCAUGCCGCGUGAGUGAUGAAGGCUCUAGGGUUGUAAAGCUCUUUCAGUGGGGACGAUAAUGACGGUACCCACAGAAGAAGCCCCGGCUAACUUCGUG
This 433-nucleotide ribosomal RNA is filed under the name uncultured bacterium. Its description in RNAcentral is "partial 16S ribosomal RNA". It matches the Rfam family "Bacterial small subunit ribosomal RNA", at positions 29 to 507 of the family's 1533-position model. The record is from RNAcentral.